Non-coding RNA from Triticum aestivum (bread wheat), 135 nucleotides. NCBI's taxonomy places the organism in Eukaryota, Viridiplantae, Streptophyta, Magnoliopsida, Poales, Poaceae. The record is from Rfam.
CAACUACUCCCUCUGUCCCAAAUUUCUUGUCUUAGAUUUGUCUAGAUACGGAUGUAUCUAAUACUAAAAUGUGACUUGAUACUUCCGUAUCUAGACAAAUCUAAGACAAGAAUUUUGGGACGGAGGGAGUACUUU